AAGCUAUUGUAAAUGUAUUGUUUAAUCAGGAAAUGGUGGAAUCACCAAGAGUUUUGAUGGUCAGUCAGACCACUUGGUGCCUGCCAACUCUGCUGUGAUGGUAGAGAGUGAGCUUUUCCUGAUGGCAGGACGAAUGAUGGGGCAUUGCUUCCUGUAUGGUGGUCCUGCUUUCCCUGGCCUCAGCCCAGCCAUCAAACAUGUUCUGUGUGGUGGGACAGUUGACACUGUCACUGUUAAUAUUGAAGACUGUCCUGAUUUGGACAUCCGUGAAACAAUCCAGCUGCUAAAAGAAAAGUCUGAACUCCAAGGUGAACAGCGUGACAGUGUUGGCAACCUUUGUAUGGCAUGGGACCUUCCGCUUCCAAACCUAAACAACAUGAAGUGGCUCCAUGACAAGCUAUUCAUACAUGCGGUUUUGGAUCUAUAAGCAAAACAAGUGAAGCAGUUACGGAAGGGACUGAAGGAGACUGGCAUUUGGCCUCUUCUCUGCUAUAGAGCAGAUGUAGUGAAACUGCUUUUCCCUUGUGAAAAAGAUGCAGAGAUCACACCCCAGAUGAUUCUUCCACACAUCACAUGGCCCAAGCUGAAAUCAGAUUUUGACUCUGAUGAUGAAGAUGAGGCGUCUGUGGAGGCCAUCACACAGGUCACAGGCUACUUCAGGAGUUUUAUUGAACAUGCUCUGUUUUAACAUUAACUCUCAUAAAUGUCCUUUACUUCUGUUAAAUAUAUUCAAUUUAUCAACAUAAAACUUGAGGAGUAUUACCUCUGCCAACUGUUUGUCUGAACAGCCUGAAGCCCACAAUUUUUCAUACAUCACAAUGAAAUUACUACUGGAUU
Molecule: long non-coding RNA, 837 nt
Organism: Thalassophryne amazonica
Lineage: Eukaryota; Metazoa; Chordata; Actinopteri; Batrachoidiformes; Batrachoididae
Exons: 4
Source: RefSeq, a predicted model, not a curated record